RNAcentral lists this ribosomal RNA (463 nucleotides) under uncultured bacterium. Its description in RNAcentral is "bacterial SSU rRNA". It matches the Rfam family "Bacterial small subunit ribosomal RNA", at positions 331 to 793 of the family's 1533-position model. The record is from RNAcentral.
CCAGACUCCUACGGGAGGCAGCAGUGAGGAAUAUUGGUCAAUGGCCGCAGGGCUGAACCAGCCAAGUCGCGUGAGGGAUGACGGUCCUAUGGAUUGUAAACCUCUUUUGUCGGGGAGCAAAAGCCGGACGUGUCCGGCCGUGAGAGUACCCGAAGAAAAAGCAUCGGCUAACUCCGUGCCAGCAGCCGCGGUAAUACGGAGGAUGCGAGCGUUAUCCGGAUUUAUUGGGUUUAAAGGGUGCGUAGGCGGAUUUUUAAGUCAGCGGUAAAAUGUCCGGGCUCAACCCGGGCCGGCCGUUGAAACUGGGGAUCUUGAGUGGGCGAGAAGUAUGCGGAAUGCGUGGUGUAGCGGUGAAAUGCAUAGAUAUCACGCAGAACUCCGAUUGCGAAGGCAGCAUACCGGCGCCCAACUGACGCUGAAGCACGAAAGCGUGGGUAUCGAACAGGAUUAGAUACCCGAGUAC